This 694-nucleotide long non-coding RNA is filed under the name Vombatus ursinus (common wombat). RNAcentral's name for it is "lncRNA (ENSVURG00010011167.1)". The record is from RNAcentral. Lineage: Eukaryota; Metazoa; Chordata; Mammalia; Diprotodontia; Vombatidae.
GGCCAAAGUGUAUAUAGCUUCCCGCAGGGUCACAGAAUUGGUGAGCGUUGACGACCCCCGCCUCCAAGUGCUUCUGAAAGUGCUGAAGAUCGCUUGGGGAGCGCGAACCCGCCAACCGUGGGAGGAUGAAGCGGUUUUCCGUUGUGUUCCUCCUGUUCGUGAUGCUUCUGACUGAGAACUUCACAGUGGCUUCAAUCUAUACUUUCUAUGAUGGUGAGAGCACCUCAGGAAUAACACCCGACUGCAAACAGUAUUCCCUUCCAGGAUGUCCAAGAAACUUAAACCCUGUAUGUGGAACAGAUUCCAUAACCUAUGGCAAUGAAUGCCUACUUUGUCAGAAAAUUAGGGAAGAGAACCAGAACAUUCAAAUCAAGUGGAGAGGAGUGUGCUGAUGGUUCAGCAGAUGCAAAGAAAAUACGGCUGAGAGAAAACACUUUAAAAUGGGAGAAUCACCUGAAACUUUAGCUUUUACUUUUCAAGUUUCAUAAAUUUUCUUGACUCUCUUCCCUACUGUUUCCCGGAAGAUUUAUUACUAAGAUCUAUUUGAGGAGGGGAUGUGGGCAAUUAGGCUUUUCAUAUCCCUGUGGUUUGUUUGUUUCGCUGGGUCUCUCUACUGCGGCUGUAGUUAAGAUCUUAUCUGCCCGAUAGUUUCUGCGCUGUCUCUAAGCCUGAAUAAAACCAGCAUUCCGCUGCA